This 524-nucleotide ribosomal RNA is filed under the name uncultured bacterium. Its description in RNAcentral is "partial 16S ribosomal RNA". It matches the Rfam family "Bacterial small subunit ribosomal RNA", at positions 28 to 523 of the family's 1533-position model. The record is from RNAcentral.
GACGAACGCUGGCGGCGUGCUUAACACAUGCAAGUCGAACGGACAGACAGAGAGCUUGCUCUCUUGAAGUUAGUGGCGAACGGGUGAGUAACGCGUAAUCAACCUGCCCUUCAGAGGGGGAUAACAACGGGAAACCGUUGCUAAUACCGCGUACGAUUCAUGAACGGCAUCGUUUAUGAAUGAAAGGUGGCCGCUAUGUAUAAGCUAUCGCUGAAGGAGGGGAUUGCGUCUGAUUAGCUAGUUGGAGGGGUAACGGCCCGCCAAGGCAAUGAUCAGUAGACGUUCUGAGAGGAUGAACGGCCACAUUGGGACUGAGACACGGCCCAAACUCCUACGGGAGGCAGCAGUGGGGAAUCGUCCGCAAUGGACGAAAGUCUGACGGAGCAACGCCGCGUGAGUGAUGAAGGUCUUCGGAUUGUAAAGCUCUGUUAAUCGGGACGAAAGAGUUCUGCGUGAAUAAUGCAGAAAAGUGACGGUACCGGAAUAGAAAGCCACGGCUAACUACGUGCCAGCCGCCGCGGUAA